This 100-nucleotide non-coding RNA is filed under the name uncultured Nitzschia. Lineage: Eukaryota; Bacillariophyta; Bacillariophyceae; Bacillariales; Bacillariaceae. The record is from RNAcentral.
AAACCAGACGCAAGCAACAGCAGCAACGGCACCAACUAGAAGAAAUCGUUAAAGCAUACUAUCCGAUACGUACAUACGACUUGCUUAUUUUAAGAGACUA